GUGGGGAAUCUUGCGCAAUGGGCGAAAGCCUGACGCAGCCAUGCCGCGUGAAUGAUGAAGGUCUUAGGAUUGUAAAAUUCUUUCACCGGGGACGAUAAUGACGGUACCCGGAGAAGAAGCUCCGGCUAACUUCGUGCCAGCAGCCGCGGUAAUACGAAGGGGGCUAGCGUUGCUCGGAAUUACUGGGCGUAAAGGGCGCGUAGGCGGACAGCUUAGUCAGAGGUGAAAGCCCAGGGCUCAACCUUGGAAUUGCCUUUGAUACUGGCUGUCUUGAGUUUGGGAGAGGUGAGUGGAACUCCGAGUGUAGAGGUGAAAUUCGUAGAUAUUCGGAAGAACACCAGUGGCGAAGGCGACUCACUGGCCCAAUACUGACGCUGAGGUGCGAAAGCGUGGGGAGCAAACAGGAUUAGAAACCCCGGUAGUCC
RNAcentral lists this ribosomal RNA (425 nucleotides) under uncultured bacterium. RNAcentral's name for it is "partial 16S ribosomal RNA". It matches the Rfam family "Bacterial small subunit ribosomal RNA", at positions 354 to 796 of the family's 1533-position model. The record is from RNAcentral.